Non-coding RNA from Parasteatoda tepidariorum (common house spider), 149 nucleotides. Lineage: Eukaryota; Metazoa; Arthropoda; Arachnida; Araneae; Theridiidae. The record is from RefSeq and is a predicted model, not a curated record.
AUAGGUGAAAUGUGCGAAACUAAUAAGGGAAAAGAUGCCGAUUUUGAUAUAUAUAACUAUUGUCCUUGCUCUAAGGGAUUCAGAUGUAAAAAAUCCAAUGACAAAAAAAUUUUCUUGCUGAACAGGUAUGGAAAUUGCGAGUAACCAGG